AUCCAGGUGACGAGUUCCAGAUAGGACGAAAUGCGCCCUAUCCUGGAU
This 48-nucleotide non-coding RNA is filed under the name Trichobilharzia regenti. Lineage: Eukaryota; Metazoa; Platyhelminthes; Trematoda; Strigeidida; Schistosomatidae. The record is from RNAcentral.